GCAUAAAGAAAGUUGAAAAAG
This 21-nucleotide non-coding RNA is filed under the name Caenorhabditis elegans. Lineage: Eukaryota; Metazoa; Nematoda; Chromadorea; Rhabditida; Rhabditidae. The record is from RNAcentral.